Molecule: ribosomal RNA, 475 nt
Filed under: uncultured bacterium
Lineage: Bacteria
Description: SSU rRNA
Rfam family: Bacterial small subunit ribosomal RNA
Source: RNAcentral
AGGACGAACGCUGGCGGCGUGCUUAACACAUGCAAGUCGAGCGGAAAGGCCCUUCGGGGUACUCGAGCGGCGAACGGGUGAGUAACACGUGAGCAACCUGCCCCUGGCUCUGGGAUAGCCUCCGGAAACGGGGAUUAAUACCGGACAUGACCUGCUGCCGCAUGGUGGCGGGUGGAAAGUUUUUCGGCCAGGGUGGGACUCGCGGCCUAUCAGCUUGUUGGGGGGGUGACGGCCCACCAAGGCGACGACGGGUAGCCGGCCUGAGAGGGCGACCGGCCACACUGGGACUGAGACACGGCCCAGACUCCUACGGGAGGCAGCAGUGGGAAUAUUGCGCAAUGGGCGGAAGCCUGACGCAGCGACGCCGCGUGCGGGAUGAAGGCCUUCGGGUUGUAAACCGCUUUCGACCAGGGGCGAAGCGAGAGUGACGGUACCUGGGGAAGAAGCGCCGGCUAACGUACGUGCCAGCAGCCGC